RNAcentral lists this ribosomal RNA (619 nucleotides) under Limosilactobacillus fermentum. RNAcentral's name for it is "bacterial SSU rRNA". It matches the Rfam family "Bacterial small subunit ribosomal RNA", at positions 381 to 991 of the family's 1533-position model. Lineage: Bacteria; Bacillati; Bacillota; Bacilli; Lactobacillales; Lactobacillaceae. The record is from RNAcentral.
GCCUGAUGGAGCAACACCGCGUGAGUGAAGAAGGGUUUCGGCUCGUAAAGCUCUGUUGUUAAAGAAGAACACGUAUGAGAGUAACUGUUCAUACGUUGACGGUAUUUAACCAGAAAGUCACGGCUAACUACGUGCCAGCAGCCGCGGUAAUACGUAGGUGGCAAGCGUUAUCCGGAUUUAUUGGGCGUAAAGAGAGUGCAGGCGGUUUUCUAAGUCUGAUGUGAAAGCCUUCGGCUUAACCGGAGAAGUGCAUCGGAAACUGGAUAACUUGAGUGCAGAAGAGGGUAGUGGAACUCCAUGUGUAGCGGUGGAAUGCGUAGAUAUAUGGAAGAACACCAGUGGCGAAGGCGGCUACCUGGUCUGCAACUGACGCUGAGACUCGAAAGCAUGGGUAGCGAACAGGAUUAGAUACCCUGGUAGUCCAUGCCGUAAACGAUGAGUGCUAGGUGUUGGAGGGUUUCCGCCCUUCAGUGCCGGAGCUAACGCAUUAAGCACUCCGCCUGGGGAGUACGACCGCAAGGUUGAAACUCAAAGGAAUUGACGGGGGCCCGCACAAGCGGUGGAGCAUGUGGUUUAAUUCGAAGCUACGCGAAGAACCUUACCAGGUCUUGACAUCUUG